RNAcentral lists this ribosomal RNA (482 nucleotides) under uncultured bacterium. Its description in RNAcentral is "SSU rRNA". It matches the Rfam family "Bacterial small subunit ribosomal RNA", at positions 26 to 518 of the family's 1533-position model. The record is from RNAcentral.
AGAGCGAACGCUGGCGGCGUGCCUAACACAUGCAAGUCGAACGCGCUCCAUUCGGUAGCAAUACUGAUGAAGAGCGAGUGGCGAACGGGUGAGUAGCACGUGAGCAACCUGCCCCGAAGACCGGGACAACACCGGGAAACCGGUGCUAAUACCGGAUAUCCCUAUCGGACCGCAUGAUCUGAUAAGGAAAUGGAUUCCGCUUCGGGAGGGGCUCGCGGCCUAUCAGCUAGUUGGUGAGGUAACGGCCCACCAAGGCAUCGACGGGUAGCUGGUCUGAGAGGACGAUCAGCCACACUGGGACUGAGACACGGCCCAGACUCCUACGGGAGGCAGCAGUGGGGAAUCUUGCGCAAUGGGCGAAAGCCUGACGCAGCAACGCCGCGUGGAGGACGAAGGCUUUCUGAGUUGUAAACUCCUUUCAGCAGGGACGAUAGUGACGGUACCUGCAGAAGAGCACCGGCCAACUACGUGCCAGCAGCCGA